CCCUUAGAUGUCCUGGGCUGCCCGCGCGCUACACUGAUGUGUCCAGUAAGCACCUAACCUAUUCCGAGAGGAGCGGGUAACCUUAGCAAAGCACAUCGUGAUGGGGAUAGAUUAUUGCAAUUAUUAGUCUUGAACGAGGAAUUCCUAGUAAGCACAAGUCAUCAGCUUGUGUUGAUUACGUCCCUGCCCUUUGUACACACCGCCCGUCGCUCCUACCGAUUGAAUGUUCCGGUGAGCUCUUCGGACUGCGCGGUCUGCAGUUUCUGCGUUCCGUGCGGAAAGUUGUGCAAACCUUAACAUUUAGAGGAAGGAGAAGUCGUAACA
RNAcentral lists this ribosomal RNA (324 nucleotides) under uncultured eukaryote. Its description in RNAcentral is "partial 18S ribosomal RNA". It matches the Rfam family "Eukaryotic small subunit ribosomal RNA", at positions 1470 to 1796 of the family's 1831-position model. The record is from RNAcentral.